CAAGAAUCAUAUAAAAUGACAUAGAGGUUGAAUUCAUGUCCGAAUUAUCUGUAUUGAAGUACAAAUAGAGUAGUGGGGGUAUACCAAAGAAACGAAGGGGGAGAGACAUGGUGGGGAUAAGGAUCGUCAACUAUUUUGGAGGCUUUAUAAUGUCUUCUUUAUUCUUUUUCAGGGACAUUAGGCAAUAGGCAGAGCUAAAAAUCAAGUGGGUUUGUACAAAUUGUUCGAAAAGGGGAACACCUCCCGGACUCUCUAUUCAAACCAACCGAGUGGUAAAAAAGAGCAAUAAUUUCCUACUCAUUUGGGACAACCCUCUUAGUGCAUAUCUUCAUUAGGAUUAUGGUCAACUUCUACUUUUUAUUAUUUGACUCCUUUUUUGACUCUCUCGCUUCUUGCUUGGCUGGCAAUAAUUUCCCUUCUUGAUCGGAAAGAAAUUGAAGGAACAAAUCAGGGUAAUUAGACAGGCUUUAAAUGGAGCCAAAGAAGAACAAAGAAUCCACCAAAUGUAACGAGUAUUCUUCCUUCUUCUUAUUCCAUCGUACGGCGUGCAACUGUUUACGUGACGACGUACCAUUGCAUAUCAACUUCAUUUUAUGCGUCGAACUUAUUCACUACUAAUAAUAUACAUCAAUCUCACAAUCCUUUUCUCAUAUUGAAUCAAAUGGGAGAGAGGUGCUUUUGUUAGGCAGCUAAUAUGGGACCCUAAUUUCAUAUUCUACCUAAUUCUAUAUUCU
This 734-nucleotide long non-coding RNA is filed under the name Citrus maxima (pomelo). RNAcentral describes it as "long non-coding RNA (CMAX_LNC003167)". Lineage: Eukaryota; Viridiplantae; Streptophyta; Magnoliopsida; Sapindales; Rutaceae. The record is from RNAcentral.